GUGGUUGUAGCUCAGUUGGUUAGAGCGUCGGAUUGUGGUUCCGAAGGUCGCGGGUUCGAGCCCCGUCUUCCACCCCA
RNAcentral lists this transfer RNA (77 nucleotides) under Prevotella sp. RNAcentral's name for it is "tRNA-His". It matches the Rfam family "tRNA". Rfam says of the family: Transfer RNA (tRNA) molecules are approximately 80 nucleotides in length. RNAcentral also lists the same sequence under 1 other name. The record is from RNAcentral. Lineage: Bacteria; Pseudomonadati; Bacteroidota; Bacteroidia; Bacteroidales; Prevotellaceae.